RNAcentral lists this ribosomal RNA (496 nucleotides) under uncultured bacterium. RNAcentral's name for it is "partial 16S ribosomal RNA". It matches the Rfam family "Bacterial small subunit ribosomal RNA", at positions 29 to 507 of the family's 1533-position model. The record is from RNAcentral.
AUGAACGCUGGCGGCGUACCUAAUACAUGCAAGUCGAGCGAACAGACGAGGAGCUUGCUCCUCUGACGUUAGCGGCGGACGGGUGAGUAACACGUGGAUAACCUACCUAUAAGACUGGGAUAACUUCGGGAAACCGGAGCUAAUACCGGAUAAUAUAUUGAACCGCAUGGUUCAAUAGUGAAAGACGGUUUUGCUGUCACUUAUAGAUGGAUCCGCGCCGCAUUAGCUAGUUGGUAAGGUAACGGCUUACCAAGGCGACGAUGCGUAGCCGACCUGGGAGGGUGAUCGGCCACACUGGAACUGAGACACGGUCCAGACUCCUACGGGAGGCAGCAGUAGGGAAUCUUCCGCAAUGGGCGAAAGCCUGACGGAGCAACGCCGCGUGAGUGAUGAAGGUCUUCGGAUCGUAAAACUCUGUUAUUAGGGAAGAACAAAUGUGUAAGUAACUAUGCACGUCUUGACGGUACCUAAUCAGAAAGCCACGGCUAACUACGUG